RNAcentral lists this small nucleolar RNA (115 nucleotides) under Theobroma cacao (cacao). RNAcentral describes it as "snoRNA snoR109". It matches the Rfam family "Small nucleolar RNA snoR109". Lineage: Eukaryota; Viridiplantae; Streptophyta; Magnoliopsida; Malvales; Malvaceae. The record is from Rfam by way of RNAcentral. RNAcentral also lists the same sequence under 1 other name.
CGGCUGUAGCUAAAUCGAAUCAAACAUGGCUGAGAAGCUAACUGGCCGGUUGUCGUGAUCGGUUUCUUUAUCGAAAUCUCCGUCGACUAAUCUGCUUACCGAGCUUCUUACAUUU